AUUGAACGCUGGCGGCAUGCCUUACACAUGCAAGUCGAACGGCAGCGGACCUUCGGGNGCCGGCGAGUGGCGAACGGGUGAGUAAUAUAUCGGAACGUACCUUUCAGUGGGGGAUAACGUAGCGAAAGUUACGCUAAUACCGCAUAUUCUGUGAGCAGGAAAGCAGGGGAUCGCAAGACCUUGCGCUGAUUGAGCGGCCGAUAUCAGAUUAGCUAGUUGGUGAGGUAAAGGCUCACCAAGGCGACGAUCUGUAGCGGGUCUGAGAGGAUGAUCCGCCACACUGGAACUGAGACACGGUCCAGACUCCUACGGGAGGCAGCAGUGGGGAAUUUUGGACAAUGGGCGCAAGCCUGAUCCAGCCAUGCCGCGUGAGUGAAGAAGGCCUGG
RNAcentral lists this ribosomal RNA (387 nucleotides) under uncultured bacterium. RNAcentral describes it as "bacterial SSU rRNA". It matches the Rfam family "Bacterial small subunit ribosomal RNA", at positions 30 to 419 of the family's 1533-position model. The record is from RNAcentral.